RNAcentral lists this ribosomal RNA (442 nucleotides) under uncultured bacterium. Its description in RNAcentral is "partial 16S ribosomal RNA". It matches the Rfam family "Bacterial small subunit ribosomal RNA", at positions 338 to 795 of the family's 1533-position model. The record is from RNAcentral.
CCUACGGGAGGCAGCAGUGGGGAAUAUUGGGCAAUGGGCGAAAGCCUGACCCAGCAACGCCGCGUGAAGGAAGAAGGCUUUCGGGUUGUAAACUUCUUUUGACAGGGAAGAGCAGAAGACGGUAUCUGCCGAAUAAGCCAUGGCUAACUACGUGCCAGCAGCCGCGGUAAUACGUAGGUGGCAAGCGUUGUCCGGAUUUACUGGGUGGAAAGGGCGUGUAGCCGGGCUGACAAGUCAGAUGUGAAAUCCGGGGGCUCAACCCCCGAACUGCAUUUGAAACUGUUGGUCUUGAGUAUCGGAGAGGCAGGCGGAAUUCCUAGUGUAGCGGUGAAAUGCGUAGAUAUUAGGAGGAACACCAGUGGCGAAGGCGGCCUGCUGGACGACAACUGACGGUGAGGCGCGAAAGCGUGGGGAGCAAACAGGAUUAGAUACCCCAGUAGUC